Long non-coding RNA from Phacochoerus africanus (Common warthog), 276 nucleotides. RefSeq lists it as uncharacterized. The transcript is spliced from 2 exons. The record is from RefSeq and is a predicted model, not a curated record. NCBI's taxonomy places the organism in Eukaryota, Metazoa, Chordata, Mammalia, Artiodactyla, Suidae.
AGUCGCUCGGUUUGAGCUCAAAUAAAUGCGAGGAUUCCUGGGCUCGGAGCAGUCGGCCGCCUCCCUCCGCGCGCUGGACGCUCCGCCGCCGCCCGCCCGCCGGCCGCACAGCAGGAACCCCUGCCUCAAGAUCAGCUCAACACCAGCUGUGAUCGUGUUUUGGAGAUUCGGGACCCUAUUUCCAAAGGAGAGUUGCGGGGGACAAGUUUCUGUUUGUUAUUUUCAAAACCAAGCAAAGGAAACAGCAGCCAAUUAAAAUGACAUAUUUUUAUUCGC